This is a long non-coding RNA of Papilio machaon (common yellow swallowtail), 136 nucleotides long. RefSeq lists it as uncharacterized. NCBI's taxonomy places the organism in Eukaryota, Metazoa, Arthropoda, Insecta, Lepidoptera, Papilionidae. The transcript is spliced from 3 exons. The record is from RefSeq and is a predicted model, not a curated record.
CCAGGUUCUUCUAGUCAGGUUUCACCUACACCAGGACCUUCACAUGAGCAUAUACAGAAGAAACAACAAGUGGAAAUGGACCAAAAUGCCUUUGUUACUUCACCAUCAAAUUUGCCUCACAAUAAUGAGCUGCAUU